RNAcentral lists this ribosomal RNA (467 nucleotides) under uncultured bacterium. Its description in RNAcentral is "partial 16S ribosomal RNA". It matches the Rfam family "Bacterial small subunit ribosomal RNA", at positions 28 to 506 of the family's 1533-position model. The record is from RNAcentral.
GACGAACGCUGGCGGCGUGCUUAACACAUGCAAGUCGAACGGAAAGGCCCUGCUUUUGUGGGGUGCUCGAGUGGCGAACGGGUGAGUAACACGUGAGUAACCUGCCCUUGACUUUGGGAUAACUUCAGGAAACUGGGGCUAAUACCGGAUAGGAGCUCCUGCUGCAUGGUGGGGGUUGGAAAGUUUCGGCGGUUGGGGAUGGACUCGCGGCUUAUCAGCUUGUUGGUGGGGUAGUGGCUUACCAAGGCUUUGACGGGUAGCCGGCCUGAGAGGGUGACCGGCCACAUUGGGACUGAGAUACGGCCCAGACUCCUACGGGAGGCAGCAGUGGGGAAUAUUGCACAAUGGGCGGAAGCCUGAUGCAGCAACGCCGCGUGCGGGAUGACGGCCUUCGGGUUGUAAACCGCUUUCGCCUGUGACGAAGCGUGAGUGACGGUACCUGCAGAAGAAGCACCGGCUAACUACGU